GCUCGUUUGGCUCAGUGGAUAGAGCAUCGGCCUGCAAACCGAAGGGUCCCGGGUUCGAUUCCUGUCAAGGGCG
This 73-nucleotide transfer RNA is filed under the name Myotis lucifugus (little brown bat). It matches the Rfam family "tRNA". Rfam says of the family: Transfer RNA (tRNA) molecules are approximately 80 nucleotides in length. The record is from Rfam by way of RNAcentral. Lineage: Eukaryota; Metazoa; Chordata; Mammalia; Chiroptera; Vespertilionidae.